Molecule: ribosomal RNA, 540 nt
Filed under: bacterium A3S_VP8_C5
Lineage: Bacteria
Description: bacterial SSU rRNA
Rfam family: Bacterial small subunit ribosomal RNA
Source: RNAcentral
UACUACGGGAGGCAGCAGUAGGGAAUCUUCCGCAAUGGACGAAAGUCUGACGGAGCAACGCCGCGUGAGUGAUGAAGGUUUUCGGAUCGUAAAACUCUGUUGUUAGGGAAGAACAAGUACCGGAGUAACUGCCGGUACCUUGACGGUACCUAACCAAAAAGCCACGGCUAACUACGUGCCAGCAGCCGCGGUAAUACGUAGGUGGCAAGCGUUGUCCGGAAUUAUUGGGCGUAAAGCGCGCGCAGGUGGUCUCUUAAGUCUGAUGUGAAAGCCCCCGGCUCAACCGGGGAGGGUCAUUGGAAACUGGGAGACUUGAGUGCAGGAGAGAAGAGUGGAAUUCCACGUGUAGCGGUGAAAUGCGUAGAGAUGUGGAGGAACACCAGUGGCGAAGGCGACUCUUUGGCCUGUAACUGACACUGAGGCGCGAAAGCGUGGGGAGCAAAAGGAUUAGAUACCCUGGUAGCCCACGCCGUACACGAUGAGUGCUAAGUGUUAGAGGGUUUCCGCCCUUUAAUGCUGCAGCAAACCCAUUAAGCACUC